RNAcentral lists this non-coding RNA (30 nucleotides) under Mus musculus (house mouse). The record is from RNAcentral. Lineage: Eukaryota; Metazoa; Chordata; Mammalia; Rodentia; Muridae.
UCCACAGUUCUCCUUGUGGCCAAAUCGUGC